GUGGGGAAUAUUGGACAAUGGGGGGAACCCUGAUCCAGCCAUGCCGCGUGUGUGAAGAAGGCCUUUUGGUUGUAAAGCACUUUAAGCGAGGAGGAGGCUACCGAGAUUAAUACUCUUGGAUAGUGGACGUUACUCGCAGAAUAAGCACCGGCUAACUCUGUGCCAGCAGCCGCUGUAAUACAGAGGGUGCAAGCGUUAAUCGGAUUUACUGGGCGUAAAGCGCGCGUAGGUGGCCAAUUAAGUCAAAUGUGAAAUCCCCGAGCUUAACUUGCGAAUUGGAUACGAUACUUGUUGGAUAGAGUAUGAGAGAGUAUGGAAGAGUUCCAGGUAUAGCGGUGAAAUGCGUAGAGAUCUGGAGAAAUACCGAUGGCGAAGGCAGCAAUCUGGCCUAAUACUGGCACUGAGGUGCGAAAGCAUGAGGAACAAACAGGAUUAGAAACCCGGGUAGUCA
This 451-nucleotide ribosomal RNA is filed under the name uncultured bacterium. Its description in RNAcentral is "partial 16S ribosomal RNA". It matches the Rfam family "Bacterial small subunit ribosomal RNA", at positions 354 to 797 of the family's 1533-position model. The record is from RNAcentral.